AUGAACGCUAGCGACAGGCCUAACACAUGCAAGUCGAGGGGCAGCACAAGGAGCAAUCUGAGGUGGCGACCGGCGCACGGGUGAGUAACACGUAUGCAACCUGCCUGUAAGCGGGGAAUAACCCGUUGAAAGACGGACUAAUACCGCAUAAUACUAAAUUACUGCAUGGUAAUUUAUUUAAACAUUUAUGGCUUACAGAUGGGCAUGCGCAUGAUUAGCUAGUUGGAGAGGUAACGGCUCCCCAAGGCAACGAUCAUUAGGGGUUCUGAGAGGAAGGUCCCCCACACUGGUACUGAGACACGGACCAGACUCCUACGGGAGGCAGCAGUGAGGAAUAUUGGUCAAUGGACGAGAGUCUGAACCAGCCAAGUCGCGUGCAGGAAGAAUGUCCUAUGGAUUGUAAACUGCUUUUGCAGGGGAAUAAAGUGCAUCACGUGUGAUGUUUUGUAUGUACUCUGCGAAUAAGGAUCGGCUAACUACGUGCCAGCCGCCGC
RNAcentral lists this ribosomal RNA (494 nucleotides) under uncultured bacterium. RNAcentral describes it as "bacterial SSU rRNA". It matches the Rfam family "Bacterial small subunit ribosomal RNA", at positions 29 to 518 of the family's 1533-position model. The record is from RNAcentral.